UUGCAGCCUAUUUUUCAUCUUACGAAAAUCUGGUGAAUAGAUGCUUUUAGACAAAUUCAAAUUCAAAAGACCGUCUUGUUAAUCUAAAAAUAUUUUUGAGAGUCGUCUUCCAAUCUACUACAUGCAAGAACUACUGAUAAGGAAGACAUGACAGAUACCGGCUAAUCUAUGAAAAGAACAUAAUUCCAGUUUAUUGCGUUGUACAAAAUCCAUAUGAGCAUCCUAAACAUGAAGAAAACUAGCUUCGUCUAUCUUACUACAACUCCACCUAACUUUACUGUGCUAUAAUAUGAGAGAGGAGACUGACGACUUCUCAAUUCUUCACGAGCUGAUUAAGAUUGAGACGAGAGCGAGACUGUCCUACUGUGUGACGAGUAACGAGUGAUGACGGAUGAGCAUGAGGCCACGAGUAGAUUUAGAUUUCGACUUCUCAGUUCUCAGUUUUCACUCGGCUGUAGAUUGAAU
Molecule: long non-coding RNA, 465 nt
Filed under: Nicotiana benthamiana
Lineage: Eukaryota; Viridiplantae; Streptophyta; Magnoliopsida; Solanales; Solanaceae
Description: long non-coding RNA (NBEN_LNC009102)
Source: RNAcentral